This 271-nucleotide long non-coding RNA is filed under the name Ananas comosus (pineapple). Its description in RNAcentral is "long non-coding RNA (ACOM_LNC002178)". The record is from RNAcentral. Lineage: Eukaryota; Viridiplantae; Streptophyta; Magnoliopsida; Poales; Bromeliaceae.
UUUUGGAAGAGGCCCCCAACCUGAAUAAAGUAAGGCUGGUAUGCUUCUGGCCAUCCAUGCUUCCAAAUCGUUUUCUAUAUUGGGACUUUCGAAUCGACGAUCAUUGAUUCGAAAGUCUAAAGGAGCCUAUUAAUUUGUCUAAUAUUUAUCUGAAAAGUGCUCUGAAAUAUUAUAAAUUGAUAAAAUUUUAUCAAAGUAUUAUUUUUAAUAUUUUUUCAAUAAAAUUUAAAAUAUCUAGUAGGAAAUACAUAAUUUAAAAAUAACUAAUUUA